GCAGAAUGACUCUCGGCAACGGAUAUCUAGGCUCUUGCAUCGAUGAAGAACGUAGCGAAAUGCGAUACUUGGUGUGAAUUGCAGAAUCCCGUGAACCAUCGAGUCUUUGAACGCAAGUUGCGCCCGAAGCCACUAGGUUGAGGGCACGCCUGCCUGGGUGUCACA
Molecule: ribosomal RNA, 165 nt
Filed under: Whitfordiodendron erianthum
Lineage: Eukaryota; Viridiplantae; Streptophyta; Magnoliopsida; Fabales; Fabaceae
Description: 5.8S ribosomal RNA
Rfam family: 5.8S ribosomal RNA
About the family: 5.8S ribosomal RNA (5.8S rRNA) is a component of the large subunit of the eukaryotic ribosome. It is transcribed by RNA polymerase I as part of the 45S precursor that also contains 18S and 28S rRNA.
Source: RNAcentral